This is a long non-coding RNA of Mya arenaria, 1045 nucleotides long. RefSeq lists it as uncharacterized. Lineage: Eukaryota; Metazoa; Mollusca; Bivalvia; Myida; Myidae. The transcript has 3 exons. The record is from RefSeq and is a predicted model, not a curated record.
AUGAUUACGUUUAUUUCUAACAUUGGAAAUAUUCUCAGCCAUUUAAAUAAGUAUGGACAAGAAAUUCGUGUACGCGGACUAUUUAUACGUAUUUUACAUUUGUUCUUGCAUUACAUGUACGAUUGUUGAAAUGGUAACUGAAGACCAUUAAAGUGACACUCUUAUUCAAAUUCAAUACAUACAACUAAAUAGUGCAUUUAUUGAAAAUAUUAAUUACUUAUAACAAGAUUGUAACCGUGUAUUUAAUAGCAGAAAGUUCAAAAAUAUAAAAUGAUCGGUGGAUGCUAAAGGAUUUACUGUGGUGUGCUAUAGUCUCAUAAGAUUUCCUGUACUGAUGAAUCGCAGCUGAAAUCAGCUGGGUCAGAACAGCCGUCAUUAGGGAGAGAUGAAAAAGCAAAUUCAAGAAUAUAUAUGCUUUCGAACGAAGCUUCGUUGAAACAAAGUCACGAACAUGGUGUGGCGACAUUCCGACGGUUGCUUGUAAAGCCCCUGUUGUAUGUGGCGCCGCCAUUCAGCGUUCACGUCACGCCAGGCCUCCAGCCACCCUCCAGCCACCCUCGGGGAUAGUUUGGACACCACCAGAACAUCAGAGAACUUGCGAGUUGACAGGCUAGAUAUCCGACGUAAUUGUUCACGUCACGAUAACUAGACACUUCAAAUGUUUGUAAAGAAAGCGUUUCUUACAUUUGAAUCAUAUGAUUAUCGGAUGUAAAUUGCAAUUUAGAACAAGUUUUUCUCCCACCUCAGAUUAUAAGUAUCUUCCAUGGCCGAGAGUGUAAGAUAGGUGCAUUCCGAGCGUAGGGUGUUUUGCGGAAACGAGGUUUACCGAGUUUCCGCAAAACACCCUGCGCGAGGGUCGGGAUGAAACUAUCUUACACGAGCGGCUAUGGUAGAUGCUUUUUCUCCCACCUCAGUUAAACAAAAUUAAUCAAAAAUGUAUUUUUUGCUGAAACUCUUUUGUGCCUAGUGAAAAUAAUUGCGUAUGGAUAUGCGAUAGCACGUGGUUGUCAUGGAUACGCGCGCAGUGAUCCAGUUAAUGUUAAUA